RNAcentral lists this non-coding RNA (520 nucleotides) under uncultured Glomus. RNAcentral's name for it is "SSU rRNA". It matches the Rfam family "Eukaryotic small subunit ribosomal RNA", at positions 569 to 1090 of the family's 1831-position model. Lineage: Eukaryota; Fungi; Glomeromycota; Glomeromycetes; Glomerales; Glomeraceae. The record is from RNAcentral. RNAcentral also lists the same sequence under 1 other name.
AGCAGCCGCGGUAAUUCCAGCUCCAAUAGCGUAUAUUAAAGUUGUUGCAGUUAAAAAGCUCGUAGUUGAAUUUCGGGGUUAGUAGGUUGGUCAUGCCUCUGGUAUGUACUGGUCUCACUGAUUCCUCCUUCCUGAUGAACCUUAAUGCCAUUUAUUUGGUGUUUUGGGGAAUUUGGACUGUUACUUUGAAAAAAUUAGAGUGUUUAAAGCAAGCUAACGCUUGAAUACAUUAGCAUGGAAUAAUGAAAUAGGACGUUCGAUCCUAUUUUGUUGGUUUCUAGGAUUGACGUAAUGAUUAAUAGGGAUAGUUGGGGGCAUUAGUAUUCAAUUGUCAGAGGUGAAAUUCUUGGAUUUAUUGAAGACUAACUACUGCGAAAGCAUUUGCCAAGGAUGUUUUCAUUAAUCAAGAACGAAAGUUAGGGGAUCGAAGACGAUCAGAUACCGUCGUAGUCUUAACCAUAAACUAUGCCGACUAGGGAUCGGAUGAUGUUAAUUUUUUAAUGACUCAUUCGGCGCCUUA